This 253-nucleotide ribosomal RNA is filed under the name uncultured bacterium. RNAcentral describes it as "partial 16S ribosomal RNA". It matches the Rfam family "Bacterial small subunit ribosomal RNA", at positions 524 to 776 of the family's 1533-position model. The record is from RNAcentral.
UACGUAGGGGGCAAGCGUUGUCCGGAUUUAUUGGGCGUAAAGAGCGUGUAGGCGGCCAUGUAGGUCCGUUGUGAAAACUCGAGGCUCAACCUCGAGACGCCGAUGGAAACCAUGUGGCUAGAGUCCGGAAGAGGAGAGUGGAAUUCCUGGUGUAGCGGUGAAAUGCGCAGAUAUCAGGAAGAACACCCGUGGCUAAGGCGGCUCUCUGGAACGCAACUGACGCUGAGACGCGAAAGCGUGGGGAGCAAACAGG